Long non-coding RNA from Phascolarctos cinereus (koala), 623 nucleotides. RefSeq lists it as uncharacterized. The record is from RefSeq and is a predicted model, not a curated record. Lineage: Eukaryota; Metazoa; Chordata; Mammalia; Diprotodontia; Phascolarctidae.
CUCUGCUUUUCAUUUUACCCUUUCUCCCCCUUCUACUGACGGGUUGAUGGAUAUAUAGCUGCCUUUACCUUGUAGACAGCUGAAGAGGAGGAGCAGGAAAAGGAGGGCAGAUGUGGGAAAGUGAAUUCGUUAAGAGAUGAAAUUUUGGUGGUCCUAUCUAUGACUUCUCAAAUAGAUCUGUGAGAUCCCUUCAGUGAAGCAGAUUGUAUCCCAUCCAUGGCUGCCCAUACUGUAGUUCCUCACUGGGUAUGUGCUGCAGCCUGCUCACAUCUGCAUGAACCUUUCCUUGUUGUCUUUGUGAUGCUCAUUGCAGUGGUGUAACAGGACUGACUGUCAUACAGAAACACUGGUAAAAUGGGAGAAAGGAAAAAAAGAACAAGAGAAAGAGUUCAGAUUCCAGUGCCCUAGUGAACAUAUAUUGAUUUGAAGGAGAAAAGCAUAUGAGUAAAUUCCCUCCUGUUCCAAGUGAUAUGUGGAUGUGCUUUCGUGUGUCUGGAAACUCAGGGACAUGGCUAGACAACUCUUCCAAAAUUAUCACCACAAUUGAGGGAAUGACUAUCAAUUGGGGAAUGGCUGAACAAGUUGUGUUAUAUGAAUAUAAUGGAAUACUACUGUGCUAUAAG